CAAAUGACUCUCAGCAACGGAUAUCUUGGCUCUUGCAAC
Molecule: ribosomal RNA, 39 nt
Filed under: Drepanolejeunea vesiculosa
Lineage: Eukaryota; Viridiplantae; Streptophyta; Jungermanniopsida; Porellales; Lejeuneaceae
Also listed under: 2 other names
Description: partial 5.8S ribosomal RNA
Source: RNAcentral